RNAcentral lists this long non-coding RNA (3361 nucleotides) under Sus scrofa (pig). Its description in RNAcentral is "lncRNA (ENSSSCG00025008357.1)". The record is from RNAcentral. Lineage: Eukaryota; Metazoa; Chordata; Mammalia; Artiodactyla; Suidae.
AAUGAAGAGUCUACAGAAUUGGAGGAAAUUCAGGAUACUCUCCCAAGGCUGGGUCCAUAGUGGAUGCUCCUCAAAAUAUUCACUGCUAGGGUGACUCAGUCCCCAAGCAUACCAGUGACAGGAGGGGUGGCCCUAACUAAGCCCAAAGCAGCCCCCGCCCUGACUCUUCCCUCCCCCAUCUGAUCUACUGUCGGUACCACAAGCACAUCAGCAGAGAAGCCCUUCCCUGCUCCCACCUUUCUCCAAGGACGGGAAGUGUGGAAUGACUUUGGGGAGGUGACUCAGGUCCAGCUGUACUGAUCCCUUGGGUGAAUGGUGAUAAGAGAGUCUGAUUAAGUCUCAGAGGUAAGGGAUAUGCUUGACCUUCUCCAGUCCUGCCAGGAGCUCGGACGCCCCAUUCUUCUCCCCAACCCCAGCCCAGACCAAAAGAGGGGAAGGAAAAGCAGAAUGGGGAACAGCAUCAAUACUGAUGGAGUCUCUAUGGAGACCAUCUCUCCAAGCCCCCGUUUUCUCAACUGGCAAAUGACAGUUCCUAUAUCACAGGGAGUCUGCAUUUCUAACAAGUUCCCAGGUGAGCCCCAAGCUGCUGGUGUAUGGACUGUCCUCCGGGUCAUGACAUCAACGAGGGAUUAGAAUAGCACCUUGUACACAACAGCCCUCAAUAAAAGUCAGCUCACUAGACUUUUUCUUCUAGCGAUUUGAUCCUUAAGAAUUGUCCCUAGGGUACUAGAAUGGUUAUGUCACCGCUGGACAUAACUGAGUGAUUUGCCCAAGCACAGAAGGCUUGGAUUCAGGGCAGAAGCAGGGUUCAAGGUCAAGUCUGCAGAUCCAUCCUUUCCAGGCAUCACACCACCCCAAGCCCCACCUGCUUCAGUGGCAGCCAGAGGCUUGGAGCUGAGGACACGAGCAGCUUUGCCCCUCGGUCCCACUGCUGGCCCCUGCUGGGCCAGCCAGGCCUCCAGGUGCAAGCCCAGGCUCCCCCAAGAAAAACCUUGAGCCAUCACCUCCACUCCCCCAGCAGCAGCCUCUAGCAGCUUCCACCUCCAUCACCUUAUAAAGCGCCCCGAGCUGCACUUUUCCAAGCUGCAGUUUAAAUUUAUAUGGAGCGAACCAACUGUCCUUUCCCUGCAGCCUGGGCCUGACUGCUUCACACAUUCCUUCUGGAGCAACAUUACCUAAUUUAACCAUAGCCCCUGCUCUCCAGGGCUCUCAAAAUAGCAGCAGCCAGUAGGGGAAAAUGCCCUAAUGUUAAAAUAACCAAUUCUCCCUCCUCCCCCACUCUUGGCCAGCACCGCCUCAGACCCAGCCCAGGAAGGAACGAGGGCUGGGAGGACCAAGGUGGGCCUGGUUAGAGGCGGAGAUCCCGCCAUGCUUCCAGCGCUCUCACAGAUACCUUCCCCCAUAUCCUCCAGCUCAUCCCAGGGGCCAGGGUUGCCCUGGUUACCCAAGACUAGCAUUCAGCUUUCACCUUCUCCUAAUAACAGAAACUAUCGUAGGAAUAAUUGCUACCCUUCCCCAGGUAUUCAUUCUGAGCUAAACACUUCCUACCCCUUGGCUCACUGACAGCAGAAAAAUGUAGGGAUGAAUAUUCUCUGGUUUCAGAUGAGGAAAUGGGGGCUCAGAAAGGUGCAGUGACUUGCCCAGGGUUACAAAGCCCUGAGGUGGCAGAAGCGGGAUUGGAACCCAAGCCCAGGUACCCCAAAGCCCUAACCAUCUACUACCUGCUAGCUGGGGCGCCGCUUGCAGGGCCUGAGCCCAGGAGAGGAGGCACGGGGGUGGGGGGUGCUAGAAGGAGCCUGCUCACCUGCUGUAUCACCGCAGGGUCUGCUCACGUGGCUGGCACCAAACCGCAGGGGUCUGUUAUGUCCUCGCUCACAUUUCACCCGGAUUUUCUGAGCCUUAAAUCUGUCCUUAGGACCCCGGGGGCGCAGGCCGCCUGUCAAUCUGUGAUCCAAGCCCCCUACUCCCUGCUCCCUCCCUGACCCCGUGUGUCCCAGAGGAAGGCUGCCUCAUUAAAGCAGGGAGCACCCAAAUGCUGACAUACCUCAAGUGCAACCAGUGGUUAAGGAGCUGGGAGGGUGGGCCUCCCACUCCCCUGCUCACUUAAUGCAGAGUAAUCAUUAACCAGGGCAGAGCACGCACCCCCAGGGCCAGCUCCAGGUCCCUUCCCACCUGGGGAAUUCUAGGGCCACUUUCCCAGCCACCCCGCUGGGACCCUAAGGUCCCUGGUAUGGGAGUGGGGUGGUUUGGCAGGAAGGCCUAAUCUGAUAUCACUAGGGCAGGUGGCCCAGCAGGUACCUGGAGGGCUCUUAGGAGCAUCAGGGGGCCCCUGCACUCACACCCCUUCCUGCCCUGCUCCCUUCCCACAGUUGGGAAGAUUCACGAAGUGAAUGAAGAGUGUUGGACAAGAGGGUGGACCCUGGAGCUUGGGGUCUCCUCCAAGGGCAGGGGGAGGCAGAACAAAACCAAGCCCCAAGGUUUACCCAGGACCAAGCACCAGGGGCAGUCUUGAAGGGCGAAGGGGACCUUCACAAAAUAACAGUUCCUGUUAUUUAUCAACUGCCUAUUCUGGCCGGAUGUGAUUUCCAUGGUGUCUAAUCUUCACCAAAACCCUGCAAAGAUGGUAUGACCAUUCCCCGCUGAUAGAUGAAGCUGAGAGAGGUUGAGUCACCAGCCCAGGGUCACACAGCAAUAAGUAAUGGAGCUAGGACAGGGCUCAGGGCUGUGUCUCCUGCCCAUGACACUGUCCCGAAGUGCAAUCCGUGGAAUUAACUGGUGGGGGGUGCUAAGAGGCCUCAUAAAAGGGCUUCUGAGUCCUGGCCAGGAACCCCAGGGGUGACAGAGCCGCUGGGGGUGGGGGUGGAAGGCAGAGUGCUCCCCCCAAUCUGCAUGUGCCAGGUAAAGGUGGUCCCGAGGCUUCUAGCACUUUGGGGUAGGUGAGGCCUCUUGACAUGCUGAAGGGUGGUGGGUGGGACCUGCAGCCCCCCCCCACCCCCAACCCCGGGUCACUUAGAGAAUUCCCUUCAAUCGCUCAGGUGAAACGUAGGUGAGGCCCAGGCAGGCUGGAAGCUUUGAUCUUAUCACACAUUCCUGCCUCAGCCUUCCUGGUCCCUGUCCCCUCCCUACCCCUCCCUCCCAGGAGGUGGGAAGCCAGGACAACUUAACCCUUUCUUCCCAUUUCUUCAACUCCAGUCCAGGCUUGAGCUGAUCUCUGCCAUCCCUCUAGCUCCCCCAGAAGAGUUGGGAGAGAAAAGGGGGAAAGGAAAGUGGUUCAGCCCAAUCUCCCUUGUUUAACUUGGCGCCGCAGAACCCCAACCUGAGCUCUGGCUCCUAGAUUAAAAUAACCAGACUCAGUAUAUUU